UUGUUUCUUUUUAUUUCUUUCUCUUUUCUUUUAUUCCCUUAGGAUCAUGGCAAAAUAAUCAAGCCCUUGACUCAACACUAAUCUUUAUUAUAUAGCUCACGGACUCGAUUACAUAGAGGAAUUAUAAAGCAAAACUCACGACUAGAUCAUACUAAGAACUUUUAUUCUACUAGAUCAAGAUAUUAUCAAAAGGAUUGAACUAAGGAAAACUGUAGCGACCAGACCUCAAACGGUCCAAUCUCUAUGAUCAGGUGUCAUCCCUGGAUCAGUAAUGCUGACACCACAUAGUACUUGAAGGAUUUACAACAGAGUAGCAAUCACACACUUAUUACAUCGAGUGUCUCAAAAGAGAACUUAUUACAAUAAAUAUGGCUUAAGGCCAUCUAAUAACGAUAACAGCGGAAGGCUUGGAAGAUAAGCGAGUCCAUCAACUCCAACGGCAUCACUGAGUAUAGAACCACGACCUAAAAGCACCUUACUCGUCGUCUGAAAAGUCUACAACAUGAACGUUGCAGCCCGAAAUGGGUCAGCACAUGGAAUAUGCUGGCAAUGUAACACAUAGAGAGUAAUGAAAGAUAUAGGCUAUACUAUAUGCAUAUUUGGCUGGUGGAAAGCUCUAUGGUUACAGUUUUGCGAAAAGCCAAUUUUUCCCUACUGCAAAGGAAUAAAUUUUAAUUAACUAUCAUGGUAGUUGUUAAACAUUGAGAAUGGUUGACAGCAUUCUCAAUCCCAAUUAAGCAACAUCAUUAAACAAAACCCAACAAAAUUAAUUUAGAGUAACAUGAUGAGAUUCACAUGAUAAUCCAGGUACUAGAUACUCAAGAUGUCCAUAACCGGGGACAUGGCUAACCAUGAUUAGUUUAUACACUCUGUAGAGGUUUGCGCACUUUUCCCCACAAGACUCGAUCUCCUCCGUUGGAUUUCCUGCACUGCAUGGUGUUUGAGAAAUGGAUGGCCGAGACAUAGUCUUUCAGAAGCGCUAGCACCUUACGAUCGGGUAGACCGUUACACCUACUUCCCCCUACAUCUGCUAGUCUACCACUGUAAGAGUUCGCACGACUUAGUCAACUAUGCUAGAGCCCAUAGUAGCUUGUGGCUGCACACGGAAGUUUCUCACUACAAGAAAUAUGUCAACUUAUGACCUUCUGUCAGUGACCCUCGAAGAAUUGGUCAUAAAUUUAUGACCAUUUUAGACCAAUUGGUCAAAAGCUGUCUGGGGGACUCUAAACCCUAAACCAUAACGACCAUUUUGGUCAGAAAGGUCAUAAUUUCAUUAUAGGAAAUGGUCAUAAAGCAAACAGCGCUAGUCCGCUGCCUUAUUUCUAGUUAUUAACGACCAAUAUAGAUGGUCAUAGCCUUGUAAAUUGUGGUGGGUUGCUAUGACUAGGCGCCACCUCAUCAGUUUUGCCUAUGUGUCAUGUCCAUGUGGUAGUUUUUGCCCUAGGUUGUGAAGCAACCUAUAUUUCUGUCAUUCCCAAAAUUCCCAAAAAAAUCUCAUAAAUUCUUCGGGUCAUAUCUUCGUCAAAUAUGUAAAAACCUUCCUUGCUUAGUUUAAAAAUAAUUCAAAAAAAAUUCAAAAAUAUUCAUUUUCCUAUUCUGUUCAGAACAACAGUUUGUGAAGGAAGUACCACUUUGGCAUGUCCAAAUAGUAUCCAUUUUCUAAAGUGCUUUCCUAUGCCCAAAUAACCAUCCUCCAACAAAUACCAGCUCAAUCCAUUCAUUAUUUUGAGCCGAGCUUCAACAUUCGUAGUUAUGUCCAGUGUGGUAGUUUGCAAAGCAAGUACCACCUAGGCUCCUCCUUUUGAGCUAAAAAUUUGUGAAGACGGUCUUCUUAGUAACUGAUCAUCCUCAGCCAAAACUCACGCCCAGUAGCCAUGUACAUUUCCCGUACCACUAAUCAAACACUUGGCUGCUAAUUCAUGUUUGAGCAUCGAUCGGUCUCCUCGUGAGAAUCUUAUGUUGUAAUUUUCUUCCUAGCACCUACACGGGGAGUGCCCAACCCACUAGACAUGCAUAUGCCGCCCAGAACACAUGGCAAUGCAAGGGUCACGCGGUGACCACGCGGCGGGCAUGUGAGUUUACGCGCUCUAGAGUUGGGGCCCUCGGCCACCGCCCAAACCUCGACGUAUCGCCACCAAACCAUGUAUUUAUGAUUAAAUAGGUACUUAUGUACCUAUAAAUGAUUUUUGUAAAAAAUAAAUAGCAAACUAUGAGACAGCUGCAGUUCAAAUUUGACCCGCUUCCAACUGAAUCGGCGGAAAUUUGUCUUUUUCACGAGAGGUGGAUCAAAACUUUUUACACCCAACCAUUUUGUCAAUUGUGCAUUAAAUAUGGCCUAGUAUUUUAUAAAAAUGAUUUGGUCCAAUUUUGCAACAAUUAUUUGGGAGGUCCUUCACAAAAAAACCUCCUUUGGGCACUCGAAAAAUGGAAAAUGGUUUUUUCGUCCAAAGAAAAUGAAAACUUCCUUAGGCAACAUUGUUUACCAUUCCAAUAUGCACCCUUGUGCACAAUAUGAGAUCAUUUUGAACAAACUAUGCCAUGAAUGUGGCCAUAAGAUUGAUCAUUUGGCUUGAAAGCCAUUGAUCUCCACACGUGAUAGCUCGUUUCUAAGAACACUUUUUUAAAAUAAUUGCCGUAUUACAAGUUUGUUAUUUUUCUUGGGAACUUGGCCACAUAUAAUGACACAAUGCAAAGGUUUCCCAAUUUUUUGAUUUUUUUUGAAUUUUUUAUGCCCGUUUCAAAAUGCGGUCAAAAUGACAGGAAUGACCGUUCCUAGCUAGUGCUUGAAUCUUGGAAUUUUUUUGGUGUUUCUCUUAUUAAAUAGGUACUUAUGUACCUAGAAAUGAUUUUUGUAAAAAAUAAAUAGCAAACUAUGAUGGAGCUGUAGUUCAAAUUUGACCCGCUUCCUGCUGAAUCGGUGGAAAUUUGUCUUUUUCACGAGAGGUGGAUCAAAACUUUGUACACCCAACCAUUUUGUCUAUUGUGCAUUAAAUAUGGCCUAGUAUUUUAGAAAAAUGAUUUCGUCCAAUUUUGCAACAAUUAUUUGGGAGGUCCUUCACAAAAAACCUUCUUUUUGGACACUCGAAAAAUGGAAAAUGGUUUUUUCGUCGAAAGAAAAUGAAACCUUCCUUAGGCAAUAUUGUUUUCCAUUCCAAUAUGCACCCUUGGGUACAAUAUGAUAUCAUUUUAACAAACUAUGCCAUGAAUGUGGCCAUAAGAUUGAUCAUUUGGCUUGAAAGCCAUUGAUCUCCACACCUAAUAGCUCGUUUCUGAGAACACUUUUUAAAAAUAAUUACCGUAUUACAAGUUUGUUAUUUUUCCUGGGAACUUGGCCACAUAUAAUGACACAAUGCAAAGGUUUCCCAAUUUUUUGAUUUUUUUGAAUUUUUUAUGCCCGUUUCAAAAUGCGGUCAAAACGGCGGGAAUGACCAUUCCUAGCUAGUGGUUGAAUCUUGGAAUUUUUUUGGUGUUUCUCUAAUUAAAUAGAUACUUAUGUACCUAGAAAUAAUUUUUGGAAAAUAUAAAUAGCAAACUACAAGGAAGCUACAGUUCAAAUUUGACCCGCUUCCAACUGAAUCGGUGGAAAUUUGUCUUUUUCACGAGAGGUGGAUCAAAACUUUUUACACCCAACCAUUUGGUCAAUUGUGCAUUAAAUAUGGCCUAGUAUUUUAGAAAAAUGAUUUGGUACAAUUUUACAACAAUUAUUUGGGAGGUUCUUCACAAAGAAACCUCCUUUUUGGACACUCGAAAAAUGGAAAAUGGUUUUUUCGUCCAAAGAAAAUGAAAACUUCCUUAGGCAAUAUUGUUUUCCAUUCCAAUAUGCACCCUUGGGUACAAUAUGAGAUCAUUUUAACAAACUAUGCCAUGAAUGUGGCCAUAAGAUUGAUCAUUUGGCUUGAAAGCCACUAAUCUCCACACCUGAUAGCUCGUUUCUGAGAAUACUUUUUAAAAAUAAUUACCGUAUUACAAGUUUGUUAUUUUUCCUAGGAACUUGGCCACAUAUAAUGACACAAUGCGAAGGUUUCCCAAUUUUUUGAUUUUUUUUUGAAUUUUUUAUGCCCGUUUCAAAAUGUGGUCAAAACGGCGGGAAUGACCGUUCCUAGAUAGUGGUUGAAUCUUGGAAUUUUUUGAUGUUUCUCUAAUUAAAUAGAUACUUAUGUACCUAGAAAUGAUUUUUGGAAAAAAUAAAUAGCAACUACAAGGCAGCUACAGUUCAAAUUUGACCCGCUUCCAGCUGAAUCAGCGGAAAUUUGUCUUUUUCACGAGAGGUGGAUCAAAACUUUUUACACCCAACCAUUUGGUCAAUUAUGCAUUAAAUAUGUCCUAGUAAUUUAGAAAAAUGAUUUGGUCCAAUUUUACAACAAUUAUUUGGGAGGUUCUUCACAAAAAAACAUUUUUGCCACAAGAAAAAUGAUUAAAAAAAUAUAGAAAGAUAAAAAAUGCAUGGAAAUCGGUGAUCAUCCAUAAAAUGGGGUCUAAUUUGAGUGAAAAAUUUGGUUGUGCCAUUUUGAAAAAUAUUUUGAUAGUUGCUUCACAAAAUUCCCCUAGUUUUAGUACUUACAAACUAUUUUAAAUCACAAAAUUUCUGAACCAAUCAUGGCUCUUCUCACGGAUCACCCCACUAUAGUCGAUCUGAACCGUCUGCGUCCGAAGGAUCCAAUGUCUAUCAUUCACCUCUUAGGUCAUAGAGGCCCAACCCAAACCCUAGCAGCAACGCAAUCCCCCUCUCCCCCUCUCCCACCGCCGCCUGUCUCUCCCCAUCUCCCCCUCUCCCACCGCCGCCUGUCUCUCCCCAUCUCCCCGAUCCAGAUCUCACCGUCGCCGCCCAAACCCAAUCUCCCAAGUGUGAUGCCGCGCCCCUGCUUUGUCCCUCUGCAUCGCCCGCAUCAUCCGGCACCAUGGCCUCCUACAUCGCCGGAUCAGGGUGCCACCACCGUGCGGGCCCCAACCCCGCACCCCACGGUGGCCGGAGACGAUGGAGAGGAAGGGCUCGGUCCCCUGACGAAUCCUCCUCCCUCCAUGCCCGCACGCCUCGAUCCCAUCGGCCCAACGCCCAGGCCCAGCACGUGUUGCCUCCAUGGACUCCACUGCGAGUUCUACCAGGCCGAGGACGGGGAGCACAGCCGCCGCCUCCUCGCACUGCUCGCCACCUUCCUCACCGUGCUUGACGCCAUGCAAGGUCUGCCUCUCUCUCCUCCUCCUGGUCUCUCUCUGUUGCUUGGUUUGAUUUUGCUGAUACGGUUUCCUUCCUCCCCUCCCUAAUGCAUGCGCGCAGGUGCACAGCCUAGUAGGAUACCACGGCUCCGUCUGCUUCUUCCGUUGUUGUGUGGUCGACGACGACGACGCGGCUGUGCGGUCGGUGCCCUCUGAAGCCGCUCGCCCGGGACGUGCCGUGCCGGAGGAGGGGUCCAGAUCCGGGCCUCACCAAGAUCAAUCGUCCCUGGAACUCGGGGGGACAAGAUGGACGUGCCUCUGCUGGUCCCCGAGCUCCCUCCUCUCGAUUCUUCCUUGUGCUACUCAGGCCCGCUCAGUUCGACUCUGUGGAUGUAGGUGAGCCACUACCUUCCCCUCCUUUGUUUUCUCCAGUGCUCUUUCUGUCCAUGCCCGGCCAUCGAGCCAUGUUCUUUGUGGUCUAUCAAGCUUCUGUUCGACAGAAUGCCCGCAAGCUGCUGCUAAUCACUUGCACUUGCUAGCUGCUGCUAGUGGUCUCAUGUUCUUGAAAACUAACAAGAGUGGUCUUACUAAAAACUGACAAUCUCAAGUCCAAAUUUGAUUGGGUGCUCUACCAGCCAUUGUUCCUCUUUCUAGUCUAGUACAGACACUGCAAACCUGCUAUUUGUUCAGUACUACGGAUGUAAUAGCAGCUCUCCCUUAAAAAAAAUUCAGAGCAGAAGCAUUCCUGGAGCAAAAAACUUGAAUAGCUUGUCGUGUCUGGAUCAGUAAGCAUAAUCAUGGGCUUAUAUUCGUGUGUAGCUUGACUGAUCACUUUCUUGCUUCAGUCUUCUGUUCGACAGAAUGCUUGCAAGCUCUGUUAAUCCAGUAGUUAGAGAAGAGUUUCCAAGCUUUCAUCUUUGAGUGUUACUGGAAACUCGAUGGUUAUUACAAUCUAAUUACAAAAUGAUAAUCACCAAUUUUCCUCUAGUGCACUGUUCGUCGGUGAUAAAUAGCCUUCAUUUAUACAAUUAUUUAGAAAACAUUCCUAGAGUGAACACUUGAACAACUUGUUGUCUCUUGUGUAUGUAUAACAGCAAGUAGUAUGGGUUGAGGGGCAAUUAGUAACCCUAUUCACCGAAUGCUCUCUUGCGGGACGAUGUACGAUGCAAACACUAUCAGCUUCCUUUCUCGCAUGCAUGCAACUUGUAAUAAGGAUUUGUCCAUAAAAACUUUUGUAGAAACUUUGUGGACCGCAGCUCUUUCUCUCUAUUUUUAAAUUAAAAUCUUGUAUGUGGCAGAUUACCUCUUUCUCUCUAUUUUUAAACGUAUUUCUUUCUGUCCAAGUGCUCUUCAUCUUGUGUGUCAUCUGCAAGGCAAUCAAGUUAACUAGAUGUUGCUCUUUUCAUGAUCUGCUUCAUAGAUACAUGCAUAUGUGAUUGCUUCUUGCCUUCCUGCCUGCUACAUCUCUGCUAGCAUAAAUCAAAGAGAAGAAAUAGAUCUACCUAUUUUUUACCGGUAGCCUUUAAUAAAUUAUAUGAAUCUGUAGCCUGUAAUGAAUUAAAUGUAUGACUGUGAUGGGAAUUAUGGCACUACUUGAUGUUUGCAUCCUAUACUUUGCUUGUGAAUGAUGCUAUGUUGUUCUGCAGACUGUCAACAGGACUCAUAUUUAGCCAUGCUUUAGUCACUAUGCCCUUAGUUCUUUUUUGUAGGGAGCUAUGCUUAUCAUCAGAAACUGUAGGAUCGAAAGUAUGUCUAGAGGGGGUGAUUAGACUACUUGACCAAAUAAAACUUAACCUUUUCCCAAUUUUAGUUCUUGGCAGAUUUUAGCUAAUUUAGGACAAGUCAAGCAAUCAUCACAUCACUCAAGCAAGCAUGCAAAGAGUCUAUGGGCAGCGGAAAGUAAAGCAUGCAACUUGCGAGAAUGUAAAGGGAAGGGUUUGGAGAAUUCAAACGCUAUUGGAGACACGGAUGUUUUUCCCGUGGUUCGGAUAGGUGGAGCUAUCCUACAUCCACGUUGAUGGAGACUUCAACCCACGAAGGGUAACGGUUGCGCGAGUCCACACAGGGCUCCACCCAAGGGCAACGGUUGCGCGAGUCCACAUAGGGCUCCACCCAUGAAGGGUCCACGAAGAAGCAACCACCCACAAAGGGUCCACGAAGAAGCAACCUUGUCUAUCCCACCAUGGCCAUCGCCCACACAGGACUUGCCUCACUAGCGGUAGAUCUUCACGAAGUAGGCGAUCUCCUUGCCCUUACAAACUCCUUGGUUCAACUCCACAAUCUUGUCGGAGGCUCCCAAGUGACACCUAGCCAAUCUAGGAGACACCACUCUCCAAGAAGUAACAAAUGGUGUGUAGGUAAUGAACUCCUUGCUCUUGUGCUUCAAAUGAUAGUCUCCCCAACACUCAACUCUCUCUCAUAGGAUUUGGAUUUGGUGGAAAGAAGAUUUGAGUGGAAAGCAACUUGGGAAGGCUAGAGAUCAAGAUUCAUAUGGUAGGAAUGGAAUGUCUUGGUCUCAACACAUGAGUAGGUGGUUCUCUCUCAGAACAUAUGAGUUGGAAUGAUGUCUGUGUUCUGAUGGCUCUCUCACCGAAUGAGAAAGAGGUGGAGGGGUAUAUAUAGCCUCCACACAAAAUCCAACCGUUACACAAUUUUCCAAUCUCGGUGGGACCGAAUCAGAAAACUCGGUCUGACCGAAAUUGUAAACCUAGUGACCGUUAGGAAUUUCGGUGGGACUGACAUGCAACUCGGUAGGACCGAUAUGGUUAGGGUUUGGGCAUAACGUAAUCUCGGUGAGACCGAUUACACAAACUCGGUGAGACCGAAUUUGGUAAUUAGCUAACCAGAGAGUUGGUCAGGCAAACUCCGUGGGACCGAUUUGCUCUUUCGGUGAGACCGAAAAGUUACAAAGGGGAAACACUGAGUUUACAUUGCAAUCUCGGUGGGACCGAUUCGCUCUUUCGGUGGGACUGAAAAGUUAUGAAAGGGAAACAGAGAGUUUGCAACCCCAUCUCGGUGAGACCGAGAUCUUUAUCGGUAGAACCGAAUUGCUAGGGUUUGGCAGUGGCUAAUGACAAGUGAAACUCGGUGGCGUCGGAUAGGAAGAAUCGGUAGGACCGAGUUUGGCUUAGGGUUUAGGUCAUAUGUGGAUAUGGGAAAGUAGUUGAGGGUUUUGGAGCAUAUCACUAAGCACAUGAAGCAAGAGGCUCAUUAAGCAACACCUCAUCCCUCCUUAAUAGUAUUGGCUUUUCCUAAAGACUCAAUGUGAUCUUGGAUCACUAAAAUAUAAAAUGAAGAGUGUUGAGCUUUUGAGCUUGAGCCAAUCCUUUGUCCUUAGCAUUUUGAGGGUUCCACUUUCACAUCCAUGCCAUGCCAAUCAUUGAGCUUUCCUAAAAUAAUCAUCUUGGAAUAGCAUUAGCUCAAUGAGCUAUAUGUUGUUAUGAAUUACCAAAACCACCUAGGGAUAGUUGCACUUUCAAUCUCCCCCUUUUUGGUAAUUGAUGACAACAUAUAGAUCAAAGCUUCGACAAAAGAUAAUAAUCAUGAAAUAUAUCGUUGCUUUGAGAAGUAUGUGAUAAGUAAGAGCUCCCCCUAAAUUUGUGCAUAUUUAAAAUUUGCUUUGGACUGCAAAUGCACAAAGAGUUAGAGUCAUGGGUUACUCUUCCAUGUCACAUACAUCUUGGUGGAGCGCUCAAAAUGAUAAGAAUGAAAUACAUGCACUUAUCACCAAGAAUAAUGAAUGAUCACAUAAGAUAGAUAGAAUGAUAAUAUUUAAGCAAGCAUUAAGCAAACAUUAAGUGUAGCUUAUGAUCAAACACAUGAUCAUCAAUGUCUCACAAAUAAUGACGUAGUAUCUCAAGCACUCAAAAACAGACAAGUUCGAAAAACCACCAAAUAAAGCAAGAGAGAAAAGCAACACUCUCUCUCUCGAAGCCUAUGAUCUAUACAUCUUCUCCCCCUUUGGCAACAAGUUACCAAAAAAGUUCCUAGAAAAUGCAUAGCACUAGAUCGACGCUCAGGCUUGAUCUUCAGGUGGUGGUGGAGUCUGGAGCACUCCAAGGACGAAGCCUUCGGUAGACGUGGUCGGAGUCGAGGCUGAAGUGGAUGCUGGAGCUGGUGGAACUGAGGCUGUGGCUGGUGCAGACGUUGUAGCUCUGGUGUCAGCAACUGGCAGUGCAGACGACCUCGGACCUCGUGUCACCCUUGCAAAAGCAUCAGUCGUGGUCCUGCCUCUCCUCUCAUUCAUGUCCUCCUGGAGCUGCUCCACGGCAGUCUAUAUCUCUGUCACCUUGAUGUCCAAGUCAUAGAACCUCUGUUCCAUGAUCCUCUCUAAACUCGCCUGGUUCUGAGUCAGGGUGGCUAUACUCUGCUCAAUCCGCAGGGUGGAUGCAAUCAGGUAACCAAGCUGCUCUUGUUUGGUUUUCAAGAAGUAAUCAGAUGCCUCCGCUUGAGUAGGCAUCCUGGCAGCUUUCUCCUUCUUCGCCUUCUCCUUCUGAGCUUGUGCAUGGGUAGAUGAUGGUUCAUUCUCAGUCAUAACAACUUGAUUAUCUUCGAAAUCUGGACGGAUGGGCAGGUGUUCCUUAUCCAACAAAUAUACGCUCGUGCCCAUCUUGGAGUUGAUGAGCUCCUGAAUCUGAGGGGCAUAUCCGCAGCUCCUCUUCUGAUCUGCCGCAGUCCUUUUGAUUGUUUCCACUAUGAGGCUCAUGACUUUGAAUUUUUGAGGCACGUCAAAGACAUGAAGCAAAUUGAUCGCGUGACCUUUGAUCAUCUUGUGAUCUCCAAACUUGGGCAGAAGGGUGUGCCUAAGGAUCCAGUUGAUCGUAGGCAAUCCUGAUAGCAGAUAAUGCACUGAGCCAAACUUGAACGUGUCAAGUGCUUCAUUCGGAAUAUCCUUGUACAUAUUGGACAUGGAGUUGUGGUCCAUCUUUUUCUUGGCAUAAAUGUCCAAGUCAUCUGCUUGCUCCUCUGGGGCAUUGAUCAGCUUCGCCCAUUCCUUAACGGUAGAGUGGUACCUUGUACCCUCUGACAUCCAUGUGAUCCUGCCAUCCGGAUAAAAGUGUGAUGUGGAGUAGAAUUGCAUGAUUAGCUCCUCGUUACACUUUGUGAGCUUCUGCCCAACAAAGUCUGCAACUCCACACGCACUAAAGCUGUCAAAUACUCCAGGGUAGUACUCUUCAUUGUCCUUGAUAUAGGUCCAGUCAACCCAUCUCAUGUCACAUACAAUUGACUUCUUGUCAAGUAGCACUGUCUCAUCGAAAUCCUGCUGCUCCUUGGUAUGACACCUAUAGUCCACUGCAGUCCUUCUCCUAGAAGCAUAUGGAUCUACUUCUCUCCACUUCCUGAGCCCUGAGUCUCUCCUGAGCUUCAUAUCCUCAGCCACAGGAUGAGCAUCGUUGUGGUCUGGGAUCUUGGGCUUGAGCUUCCUUAGGACAUUUUCUUCCUCAUCCUCAGCAACAGUCUCAGGCACUGGGGCCUUGUUCUUCUCAGCUGCAGGAAUGCUCCUUGUAUUUCUCUUAGGUUUUGGCUUGGAGGCAGCUUUGGGCUUAGAUGCAGUAGCCCCUGACCUUAUGGCAUCACCCAUUAGCUUGGGUGCCUUGGGCGCUGGUGCAGCUGCCUCUUCUUCCUCUUCCUCUUCCAUGAUGGAAGCUUUGCCAAGCACUCUAGCCAUAGUCUUCUUCACCCUCUCUUUCCUUUUCUUGCCCUCAGCUGCAGCUGGCUCUUGGGAAGUGAGCUUCUCAGUUGAGGCUCUAGCCUUUGACAUGGGCUGCCUGCCUGCUGGCCUUUUGAUUUUCAGACCUGGCUUAGUGCCUUGAGCUGGUUCAAUUCUCUUGGAAGUGGCCUCUUCCUCUGCCACAUAGUCCUCAUCUUCAGAAUCUGAGGUUCUCUUCUUCCUUUGUCUAGUGGCAGCUUUAGGCAGGUUGCUGGGUGUGCUCCUGCUGCCAUCAUCUGAGGAACUUGAGGGGCUAGUGCCCUCACUCAACCGCACUUGCUACUCUGACAAGUUUUGGCUGUCACUCUAGUCUGACAUGCUGCAAACUGACUGCUGACCCUGUGAAUAGAUUAUAGAGGAGAUAGAGUGGAUGAGCAUCACAAAAUGUAGAGAUUUUUGCAGAAGAAUGAUCCAAAACUUAGUUUUAGUUUCCCACUAAAAUCAUCUCGGAUCUACCGAUUUUCAAACUCGGUGAUACCGAAGCAGUUUUGGAACCUAAACUAGUGAACUCGGUAGGACCGAGUCACAGUUCGGUGGCACCGAGACUGCUAGGGUUUCACUGAGUUCAAAAAUCGGUCACACCGAUAAGUAAUUCUCGGUCAGACCGAGUCUCACUUGUGCAAUGGCAUAAGCCAAAUCGGUGGGACCGAGUUUUUCAACUCGGUGGGUCCAAGAUAGUUUCGGCGGAAACCUAAACCUAGAAUUUUCGAAUCAAACCUAAUCUAUGAGUGUUUUGACUGGAUAGAAGUUUCUCAAACGUGGCUAGAAACAAUAUGAUCACAAUGUGCUAGGAAUCAGAUUGAGGAAUAGCACAAAGAUCAAGUCCAUACCCUAGUUCGGCGGGGACUUGCUACGGCGGCAAUGGCGGGGCAGAAUUCCCGUUGACGGCGACGGAGACCAGCGACUGGAGGCUGCUGGCGGCGAGAAGACGAUCCAGAGACCUCGAGGGCAGAGCAGGCUAUCGCGCGGGCGAAGGGGUUCGGAGAAAUUUCCAAAUUUUGCCCGUGACUAUAUAUAGCCCGACCCUGUCAGUGUGACCGAGUGGAACGACUAGGUGGCACCGAGAUUCAUAACUGCGUGCAGUUACUGAAACUCGGUGUGACCGAAAGUGUCAAAUCGGUUGCACCGAGAUCGAAAACCUAGAUCAACUUAAUGAUCUCGAUAGGACCAAAAGUGGAGUAUCGGUUAGACCGAGAAUCAUAAAGAGGUUUUGGAAGUUUAAGUCUAUGACGAAUCAGGGACUCCGAGCGCUCCUCACACAGAGUGGUUCGAAUCUGACUUGAUCAAAUUUUGUGAUGCAGCAUGAAUAGAGUUUGAGACGAGAAAAGCAUAGAUAGCUAGAGGAGGUUCUUAGGCAUUCUUGUCCAUCCACUUGGCAAAAAGAAAUAAAGCCGAACAAUCAAAACAACAAGUGGAUGUCCUCGAAUGAGUAAAAUAUGCAACCAGCAUGCUCACACAAUAAGAUGGCAAAUGAAAUAUGUGGCAAGGCAUGCACAACCAAUUCUAGCAUCUAUCAAGCAAUUUGCGAUGACUAGGUCAUCUAUAUAUGAGUAUAUUGACUUAGGAGUCAAGUGAGAACACUUGAUCAUAGGUCAUACUCAUCGUUUAAGCUCAAGUGGGGUUACCACUUUUACAUAAAGCAUUGUUGUGUUCACAUCUUUAGAGUUUCUUUAGCUCAAGUCUUAGAGUAAAGCUCCCCCUAGAUGUGAUAUCCCCCCUAAGAGGGAUGAACUAACCUUGGGUUUUGUCGAUGAUGACUUCAUGUAGAUAUUGAAGAUGUGGAUGCUCAAUGUUGAUGUAGAUCUCUUGGAGCUAUCCAUAUGAGUGAAUUGCACUUUCAAUACCUACAUGGGUUAGUCCCACAAGGAACAAACAAGGAUAUCCAUAGACAUAGAGUGAUGCACACAAAAGAUGAUGUCCAUGAAAACUUUUAGUUUACCUUGUCCCUUGUCUUACCAACAAGAGGGUUUGUGACUCCUUGAACUAGUGCAAGAUGUGGAAGUUGAUUGCACUUGUUCUUGCCAAAAUGAUAAGAGUGAAGUAUGUUGGCGGAGUCACCCUCAAGAACUCUCUAGUUCUUCUUCUUUUGGAUCCACAUCAUCUUGAUGGGAAUCCUUGGAGUUGUAGUCAUACUUGAUGAAGUGGAACUUGAAGUAGUCUUGGGAAUCCACUUGACUAAGGUCUUAGGAGCUUCUUCAAAUGCAUCAAUUUCCUCUUGAAGCUUGUCCUUGCCUUUUUGCUCGUAGUCUUGUGGUGGAAGAUCAUCUUGAGCUUGUGUCCCCUUGAAAGAAGUAUACUUCUCUUGUUGAGGGACAAACUUUGUCUUGGGGUAUUGAUCUUCUUCCCAUUCAACUCCAUUGGCAUUGAACUUUCGUUCAAAACGAACACCUUGAUUCUUCCGGUGCAUUCCUUGUUUGCGCACAAUUUCCUCAAAUUGCUUACUCCUGGCACGGCUUUUGUACACUCCUUUCUCUAUAAUUCCCUUCAAUAAGCUAUUUUAUUGCUCAAGUGUAACUUGGCUAAGAGAAUCAUUAGUGGAAUCAAGAGAACUACUAGAAGCAACAAUAUUGGAUUUAGCAUGAUCAUUGUUACUACUAGAGGAAGAAUCUUUCUUGUUAGACUUGACUUGAGGCAUGUAAGUGGAUAAGAGUAAACGCUUGGCAAUGUAAGAAGAACUUUUCUUGCGGAGAUCAUCAUUGAUUGCCUUUAAGAACUCAUGCUCUUGCUCAAGAUUUAGCUUUUCAAAGCGUAGUUUCUCAUGAGCUCUUAAAAGUUCUCGAUGAUCUUCGAAGAUAGUGUCAUGAGCUAACUUAAGAGUUUUUAGUUCUUUAGUUAGAGCCUCAAUCUUCUUCUCAUCAUUGUCAUUCGUUUUAUCUUGAUUAGCAUGAUUAAUUGGUCUUUCAUCAUAGUAUUCAUCACUAGAGUUGUCACCAAGCAAAUCAUCACCUAACAAGUCAUCUUCAUCACUAUUGAAAUCAACAUACUCGGGGUGUGUUACCUUAGGACCUUUGGCCAUGAAGCAUCUUCCAAUUCCUUCAUUUGGUGAGUCAAAUAUGUCGUAGGAGUUGGUUGACACAAGUGCUAGACCGGCAACACCUUCAUCUUGAGUAUCUUCGGAGUCGGAGUGAUAACUUCUCUCGGAGUGGCUGUCGGAGUCGGAGCCAGAUACCCAUUCACCAACAUGAGCUUGAUGUCUUCGUCUUGUGUAGCUCCUUGAUGAUUUUCCUUCCUUUCCGAAUCCUUGCUUCUCCAUGAGUAUCUUCGUUCAUAACGAUCAUCUCUACUCCUUCUCUCUCUUGGUGGUGAUCCUUUGCUUCUUCUUUUUGGAGAAUCUUCUCUUCUCUUGUAGGGAGCCGUACACUCAUUGGAAUAGUGUCCGGGUCUUCCACAAUUGUAACAGUUUCACUCUCGACUAGAAGAUCUUUUGUCAUUGUAGGACCUUGACUUGGAGCUUCUAUCUUUGCUUCUACUCUUGUAGAACUUGUUGAAGUUCUUCACCAUUAAGCUCAAUUCUUCAUCGAAGUCUUGUUUCUCACUUGAUGAUGUAGGGGCUUCACAUGAGGCUUUGUAGGCACCACUUGAUUUGUUGUGAAGUUCCUCUUUAUCCUUAAGUGACAUCUCAUGAGCAACAAUUCUUCCAAUCACCUCCGUUGGCUUGAGAUCUUUGUAAUUGGGCAUCAUUUGGAUCAAUGUGCACACGGUAUCAUAUUUUCCAUCCAAGGCUCUUAGGAUCUUCUUGAUGAUGAAUCUAUCGGUCAUCUCUUCACUUCCUAAGCCGGCAAACUCAUUUGUGAUGAGAGCAAGCCUAGAGUACAUUUCAGCGACACCUUCACCAUCCUUCAUCUUGAACUUGUCAAGUUGGCUUUGAAGCACAUCCAACUUGGAUUCCUUGACGGAGUCGGUACCUUCGUGCAUAUCAAUCAAAGUGUCCCAAAUUUCCUUUGCAUUCUCAAGGCGGCUGAUUUUGUUGAAUUCUUCGGGGCACAAUCCGUUGAAGAGAAUAUCACAAGCUUGAGCAUUGUAUUGCAACAUCUUCAACUCAUCCGCAGUAGCUUCACGGUUUGGUUCUCUCCCGUCAAAGAAGUCACCUAGCAAACCAACACACACAAUAGCCCAAACAGCGGGGUUAUGUCCAAGAAUAUGCAUUUUCAUUUUAUGCUUCCAACUAGCAAAAUUAGUACCAUCAAAGUAAGGACCUCUACGGUGAUAAUUUCCCUCGCUAGACGCCAUACUCUCCUAGGUUGUGAAACCAAGUCUAUGACCACCAAAAUCUAUGGAGAUCAAGAAAAUGGAGACCAAAGCUCUGAUACCACUUGUAGGAUCGAAAGUAUGUCUAGAGGGGGGUGAUUAGACUACUUGACCAAAUAAAACUUAACCUUUUCCCAAUUUUAGUUCUUGGCAGAUUUUAGCUAAUUUAGGACAAGUCAAGCAAUCAUCACAUCACUCAAGCAAGCAUGCAAAGAGUUUAUGGGCAGCGGAAAGUAAAGCAUGCAACUUGCGAGAAUGUGAAGGGAAGGGUUUGGAGAAUUCAAACGCUAUUGGAGACACGGAUGUUUUUCCCGUGGUUCGGAUAGGUGGUGCUAUCCUACAUCCACGUUGAUGGAGAUUUCAACCCACGAAGGGUAACGGUUGCGCGAGUCCACACAGGGCUCCACCCAAGGGCAACGGUUGCGCGAGUCCACACAGGGCUCCACCCACGAAAGGUCCACGAAGAAGCAACCUUGUCUAUCCCACCAUGGCCAUCGCCCACACAGGACUUGCCUCACUAGCGGUAGAUCUUCAUGAAGUAGGCGAUCUCCUUGCCCUUACAAACUCCUUGGUUCAACUCCACAAUCUUGUCGGAGGCUCCCAAGUGACACCUAGCCAAUCUAGGAGACACCACUCUCCAAGAAGUAACAAAUGGUGUGUAGGUAAUGAACUCCUUGCUCUUGUGCUUCAAAUGAUAGUCUCCCCAACACUCAACUCUCUCUCAUAGGAUUUGGAUUUGGUGGAAAGAAGAUUUGAGUGGAAAGCAACUUGGGAAGGCUAGAGAUCAAGAUUCAUAUGGUAGGAAUGGAAUGUCUUGGUCUCAACACAUGAGUAGGUGGUUCUCUCUCAGAACAUAUGAGUUGGAAUGAUGUGUGUGUUCUGAUGGCUCUCUCACUGAAUGAGAAAGAGGUGGAGUGGUAUAUAUAGCCUCCACACAAAAUCUAACCGUUACACAGUUUUCCAAUCUCGGUGGGACCGAAUCAGAAAACUCGGUCUGACCGAAAUAGUAAAUCUAGUGACCGUUAGGAAUUUCGGUGGGACUGACAUGCAACUCGGUAGGACCGAUAUGGUUAGGGUUUGGGCAUAACAUAAUCUCGGUGAGACCGAUUACACAAACUCGGUGAGACCGAAUUUGGUAAUUAGCUAACCAGAGAGUUGGUCAGGCAAACUCCGUGGGACCGAUUUGCUCUUUCGGUGAGACCGAGUGGAACUCGGUGAGACCAAAAAGUUACAAAGGGGAAACACUGAGUUUACAUUGCAAUCUCGGUGGGACCGAUUCGCUCUUUCGGUGGGACCGAAAAGUUACGAAAGGGAAACAGAGAGUUUGCAACCCCAUCUCGGUGAAACCGAGAUCUUUAUCGGUAGAACCGAAUUGCUAGGGUUUGGCAGUGGCUAAUGACAAGUGAAACUCGGUGGCGCCGGAUAGGAAGAAUCGGUAGGACCGAGUUGGCUUAGGGUUUAGGUCAUAUGUGGAUAUGGGAAAGUAGUUGAGGGUUUUGGAGCAUAUCACUAAGCACAUGAAGCAAGAGGCUCAUUAAGCAACACCUCAUCCCUCCUUAAUAGUAUUGGCUUUUCCUAAAGACUCAAUGUGAUCUUGGAUCACUAAAAUAUAAAAUGAAGAGUCUUGAGCUUUUGAGCUUGAGCCAAUCCAUUGUCCUUAGCAUUUUGAGGGUUCCACUUUCACAUCCAUGCCAUGCCAAUCAUUGAGCUUUCCUGAAAUAAUCAUCUUGGAAUAGCAUUAGCUCAAUGAGCUAUAUGUUGUUAUGAAUUACCAAAACCACCUAGGGAUAGUUGCACUUUUAGAAACUCUUGGUGAUGAUGUUAUUCCUCUUUUGGUUCAUGUGUUGCAAUUAUAUACCACAUAAUUCUACACCAUGUGGUGGACAUAAGUAUCUUAGUGACUUCAUUUGAGUGUGCAUUUCUAUUAAUUCUAAGCUUCUGUUGCUGUGAAAAUGUACCUCACUGACCGUCUGUCUAUUUAUUGUGUACUUCUUGCAUGAGGAGGUGACUAGUGAUGCGGCACGCGAAGUAGCAGUAGGGGAAGGGGGUCUCCUGCUCGAGGAGGCAGAGGAGUAGGGACGUGCCCAGCCGGCAGCUCUGUCCUGCUUGUGGGGGAGGGGCAGGAGGGGUCUGCUCCUCUGCUUCCAUUGCGAUCGCGGCAGGUAGCUCCUCCAUCUCCGUCCCCCUCUUCCCGUGCUCACUACUUCUGCUGCUAAGUUGACGAAUAUGUGAUGCACUUGUCCCAAGGAAAUUUAGAGGGAUCUGUAUGAACAAGUCAUGUUUUUAUUUUAUUUUAUUUAGGUUGUUAGUUACCAAACAGAGAGAGAAGAUGAGCUCAUGCUUGGAUUUUUUUCUGCCAGCACAUGAUUUGUAUGUAUGCAAUCAUCAUCUUGCGUGUGCGAGCUGGUUCUUUGCUUGCGCAUCGCGUCGAUGACCAAGUGUUAGUGCCGAUUUGUUGUGGUGGUGCUCAUCUGGCCAUUGAUUUCUUGCUGAUAAUUUGUCUACUCCACUUGUUUAUUUUUACUAAAACCUUUGUUUGCAUGUUUCUAAAAUACAGAGAAGAACACCCUGUGUUCUGGUAAAAUAUUUGUUGGCUAUGAUAUGAAAUUCCAUGACGUGUGUGUUGUCUCAAUUUCUGUAGCUACAACAAAGUCCCAGUUUACUCUGUACUUGCUGCUGAUGAUUGCUAGCUAAAUAUACAGCGGCAGUGUCCAGGAGGACAGCAGCGGGCUGGAGUAGCCGCCGCUGGUUUUCUUACUGGUUUUUUUAAAUGUCACAACUUACUAUGCCGCUACCUAGUAAAAACCAACUUACUAUGCUGCUGCCUAGUAAAAUUAUUUCUGUGUUUGAUGCAUGGCCUAUCUUACUUCGUGCUUAUACAUUCUGUUCUGUACCUAACUUAUAUUGGAAGCUGACUAUUCUGUAAGAUGGAUCUAACCAUCAUUAAGUGCACAAGUUUUCAGGAUAAUUCACAACUGCAUUAAAAAAUUCUAGUGGGAGUUAUACAUGUUUUCUCAUGAUAGAUUGAUCUGGACUGAAACAUGAUUUUGCAUCCUGUUUUCCGUCGACAAAUAUACAAGUUAUACAAGUUAUAUCAGCAAGUUAUUGUAUGUGUUAGAGAAAUUAGUGUUGACUUAUUUGUUGUUCUUUUUUUUCUUUCUAAUUUUUGCAUGAGAGCAAACUGGUGUAGCUAGCUGAACUAUGCAGCCAUGAAUCAGGAAGUAGCAUAUUCAGUUUUGCUAAUAGAAAAUAAAUGUAUUAAAAACUAUAAAAACUGCAUAAUAAGUGCUUGUUCAUGUUUGGUUUUCUCUAAACUUUGUUUGUAUGAUCGAGGGCAAAUUUACUUGGUUCUUUUCUCUAAACCGUGCUUGGAACAUUCGUUUUUAUGAUCUAAAAUUGCCUUCCUGUGAUGAUGCAGGUGCCCAGUUUGUGCUCGUUACCGAAGGAGCUACAUGUUGAAGAAGAUUGAAGACACUUGUAGAGCUACAUGGUUAACACCAGGGCACCGUAUCACGUGUAGAGCUUGUAGAGCUUGUAUGAGCUUAUUAUGUGUAGAGAUUGUAAAGUAUAUGUUAUUUGUACAAUAGGAGCUCCGUACUGAAUCUGGCUGAUAAUAUUUGGAGUAUUAUGUGUGUGUUUUGUUUGUGCCAAUUUAAAUACUGGUUAUUUAUUUACUGUUAAAUUGAAAUAUGAAGAAUAUAAACUUGCUAGCUGGGACCCACGUACCUGAACCUGACAUCUGGGACCCAUUUGACUAGUGGACCUUUUUUAUAUUACAAAAAAACUAAAACUUUCUAGCGGAAAAGGCCACGACCCAAAAAUGAGAAGGCUUAAUUGUUGGGCUUGGCCCAUCUACCUAGCCAAAAUUAAUAUGAUAAAAAAACACAAAUAGGCCGAAUUGUUGGGCUAGGCCAAUGUAGAAAAUUGAAUUGGACCGGGCUGAAUCUUGUGCCAUGUCAGAUUGCCACGCUGGAUGCCUACGUGGCCUGGGGAGGUUGAUAGUGACCAAAACGCCACAGUAGACGUAUUUUGGUCAUAAACGUCUUCGACCAUUCCAGAAGAAAGGUCGCUAUAGUCAGUUUAUGACUGCCAGCUUUUGACCUUCUGUUUUUGGUCACAAAAGGUCGGAAAUGAAAAACCAUGAUAUUUUAGUGACCAAUAGUGGUGGUCACAAGUUGACAUAUUUCUUGUAGUGUCUAGCAUUAAUAAUCUCAUGAUCCCUUUGAGCCUGGGUGGCGGUCCAAAAGAAAAACAGGCAAUCGCUGGAAUACCCAGAUGCCUCAAUCCACCCAGAUGUGUAUUUUAGUUGCCACUUUAGAUAAACCAUUAAUUUAACAAUCUCACAUAUGUCAUGGAUACACUAACCCAAUCCACGUCUACUAGCAUAGCAUAGCAUAAUAAGCAAAUGUAGAAGUAACUCCCAAAGGUUUGGUAAUAAACAGGUAAUAGGCACUACCUCAAAUACUUCCCAAACCCACAAUUUAAUUAGAUCCUAAACAUGCAAUGUGUGAGGAUUGAUCUAAUGCAAUAAAACUAGGUAAUUGGAAGUAUGAUCAAAGUGUUACUUGCCUUGCUGAUGAUCCGCAAAACCUAGCGAUUCAAAGUACCAAGCGGCGCACUCCGGGUACUCUAUCGCAAACAAACAAGCAUACAAUAAGUACUCAUCUAAUGCACAGGUAAAACUCGAAUAAGAGAUCUAACCAGAAAGUUCAACUUAAGAACUCCGGUUGGCAAAAAGAAUCAAAUCGAAUGAAGCAACGAAAGACAAACGGCAAAAGAAACAUGCUUCAUUUACUAUUCUGGAUCUAGGUCAAUUUUUAUAGUGGCAAAAACUUGUUUGAGUUGGUUAAAUGGAAAGAGGGUUUUGAGAUGAAACUCUAGGCACUUGAACCGCCUGAUUCUGAUAAACGAGCAAAAAGUUAUACUAAAACGAAAAUCGGAUCAGGAAUCGCGAUCAGAAAAAUCGUGGAUUUAAUCCGAGAAAAAAGAAAACGACGAACAGAUUAACGAACGAACGUUCAUUAUCUGGAUCUAAACAAUGAACAUGUUCGUUAAAACAAACGAACAAGCGAACGCUCGCAUAUUAAAUAAACCGGAAAAACCGAUCUAUAUAAAAAAAACGAAACUAAAAAAACCAAACGGUUUUUUGAGAAAAACCGGCGGCGGUGAGGUCUACCUCCGGCGAGUGGCGGGGCGGNNNNNNNNNNNNNNNNNNNNNNNNNNNNNNNNNNNNNNNNNNNNNNNNNNNNNNNNNNNNNNNNNNNNNNNNNNNNNNNNNNNNNNNNNNNNNNNNNNNNNNNNNNNNNNNNNNNNNNNNNNNNNNNNNNNNNNNNNNNNNNNNNNNNNNNNNNNNNNNNNNNNNNNNNNNNNNNNNNNNNNNNNNNNNNNNNNNNNNNNNNNNNNNNNNNNNNNNNNNNNNNNNNNNNNNNNNNNNNNNNNNNNNNNNNNNNNNNNNNNNNNNNNNNNNNNNNNNNNNNNNNNNNNNNNNNNNNNNNNNNNNNNNNNNNNUUCCCUGGGUUAUAAAGCUGACCGGGCCUAGUGUCCGGGUCGGACACGGCCCGUUAGGUCGGUUUGUUUUUUUAAAUAGUUACGCUCAGAAAAAAACAAAAGGAAUACUAAACGGACUCAAAAAACUCCUGAAAUAAAUUUUCCCCGGCUUCUAAAAUCAAGCAGCACAGGAUGAACAUUUAUUUGGGGCCAAAAUGCAAUUUUGAAAAACAUGCAUUUUUCCUAAAUUCAAAUAAAAUAGGAAAUGAAACCAAAAUAAAAUCUUAUUUGAUUUUCUUAUUAAAUCCGCAAUAUUUUAUUCCCUCUCUCAUAUUUUUGUAAUAGAAAUAAUUGAAGAUAAAAUAAAUAAAAUCAAAUGAUCCUAUUUUCAAAAUUUGAGAAAACUCAAAUAUGAAAAUAACGAAAUCCCCAACUCUCUCCGAGGGUCCUUGAGUUGCGUAGAAUUUUCUAGGAUCAGCCAAAAUGCAAUAAAUUAUGAUAUGCAAUGAUGAUCUAGUGUAUAACAUUCCAAAUUGAAAAUUUGGGAUGUUACAAACCUACCCCCCUUAAGAUGAAUCUCGCCCUCGAGAUUCGGGUUGGCUAGAAAAUAGGUGAGGGUGGUCCUUCAGCAAUUCUUCCUCUCGCUCCCAGGUGGCUUCAUCCUCCGUGUUGUGGCUCCACUGAACUUUGCAAAACUUGAUAACCUUGCUAUGGGUUACUUGGUUGGCAUACUCAAGAAUCUUGACUGGUUUCUCCUCAUAGGUCAAAUCACUGUCCAACUGAAUUGCUUCCAGCGGCACUGUGUCUCUCAACGGUAUAUCAGCCAUCUCCGCGUGGCACUUCUUCAUCUGGGAAACGUGGAAAACGUUGUGAACUCCUGACAAUCCUUCACGCAAUUCCAAUUUGUAGGCCACUUCUCCCAUACGCUCCAAAACCUUGUAUGGUCCUACAAAACAUGGCGCUAACUUUCCCUUAACUCCAAAGCGCUUAACUCCUCGAAGUGGAGAUACUCGAAGAUAAACUCGGUCUCCAACUUCGAAAACUGUCUCCUUGAGUUUAGAAUCUCGUAGCUCUUCUGCCUGGAUUGGGCUACCUUGAGCCUGUCGUGAAUCAAUUUUACUUUCUGUUCAGACUCCUUUAUCAGAUUUGGUCCAAACAACUGACGGUCUCCAACUUCAUCCCACGACAAUGGGGUCCUGCACCUCCUUCCGUACAAGGCUUCGAAAGGGGCCAUCUUCAAACUGGAUUGAUAACUGUUGUUAUAAGAGAACUCUGCGUAUGGCAAAUUCUCGUCCCAACUAGAUCCGUAAUCUAGCGCACAAGCUCUCAGCAUAUCCUCCAAAAUUUGAUUGACUCUCUCGGUCUGUCCAUCUGUCUGCGGAUGGAAAGCUGUACUGAAUUCUAGCUUGGUACCCAAAGUUUCAUGCAACUGAUUCCAGAACUUUGAGGUAAACUGGGUUCCUCUAUCUGAUACAAUGCUCCUUGGAACUCCAUGCAGACAUACGAUUCUGGUCAUGUAUAUCUUUGCUAACUUUGCAGUGGUAUAGGUAGUCUUCACUGGAAUGAAGUGAGCUACCUUUGUCAAACGAUCGACUACAAGCCAAAUCGAGUCAUAGCCUGAACGAGUUCUGGGUAAACCCGUAAUAAAAUCCAUGCCUAGCUUAUCCCACUUCCAUUCGGGUAUCGGCAAUGGCUGUAGCAAUCCUGCUGGCUUCUGAUGCUCUGCCUUUACUCUCUGACAUACAUCACAAACUUCUACAUACUCCACAAUGUCCUUCUUCAUUCUGGUCCACCAGAAAGUAUCCUUCAAAUCCAAAUACAUCUUGGUAUUUCCUGGGUGAGAGUAUGGUGAAUCAUGGGUUCCUGCAGAAUUAACUUCCUGAUCUCUGGGUCAUUAGGCACAUAAACGCGGUCUUCAAACCAUAAGGUAUCGUGUUCGUCCUCACGAAAUCCUUUAGCUUUUCCUUUGCUCAUUUUCUCCCUAAUAGAAGCGAUCUCCUUGUCGGUUUUCUCGGCUUCUAUGAUCUUAUCCAUCAACGUAGACCGAAUCUCCAAUGCUGCUACAUAGCCUCUCGGAACUAUCUCCAAACAUAGCUCACAAAGAUUUUCGGCUAACUCCCUUGGUAAAUCUCUCGUCAUUAGUGUGUUGACAUGGCUUUUACGACUCAAUGCGUCAGCUACUACGUUAGCCUUUCCAGGGUGAUAAUGCAAUCUCAUAUCAUAAUCCUUGAUGAGCUCCAACCAUCGCCUUUGUUUGAGAUUCAACUCCUUCUGAGUGAAAAUAUACUUCAAACUCUUGUGAUCCGUGUACACCUCACAAUGGUUUCCAAUGAGAAAGUGUCUCCAGGUUUUCAAUGCAUGCACUAUGGCUGCUAACUCCAAAUCAUGCGUAGCAUAAUUCAACUCAUGAGGCUUAAGCUAUCGCGAGCCAUAUGAAACAACUCUUCCUUCCUGCAUAAGCACUACUCCAAGUCCUCGACAUGAAGCGUCACAAUACACCUCAUAAUCUUUGGUUUGAUCUGGCAAAAUCAACACUGGUGAUGUAACCAAACGUUUCUUCAGCUCCUGGAAACUGGCCUCACAUUCCUUAGUCCAUAUGAACUUGGUAUCCUUUUUCAACAACUCCGUCAUAGGCUUUGCAAUCUUCGAGAAAUUCUCAAUGAAUCUCCGGUAGUAUCCUGCAAGUCCAAGAAAACUCCGGAUUUCUCCAACUAUUGUUGGGGCUUCCCAAUUUGUCACAGUGUCAACCUUAGUGGGAUCUACUGCUAUACCCUCUCCGGAUAUAACGUGUCUGAGAAAUCCAACUUCCUUCAACCAAAACUCACAUUUGCUAAACUUGGCAUAUAACUGAUGUUCUCUGAGCUUACCAAGUACCAAACUCAAAUUCUCCUUAUGCUCCGCUUCAUUCUUGGAGUAAACCAGGAUAUCAUCGAUGAACACUACGACAAACUUAUCCAGAAACUCCAUAAACACCUUGUUCAUCAUGUUCAUAAAAUAAGCAGGUGCGUUAGUUAGACCAAAUGACAUAACGGUAUACUCGUACAGCCCAUACCUGGUGGUAAAAGCCAUCUUAGGUAUAUCCUGUUCUCGAAUCUUCAACUGAUGGUAUCCUGAUCGCAGGUCGAUCUUGGAAAAUACCUUAGCUCCUUGCAAUCGAUCAAACAGAUCAUUGAUCGUCGGUAGUGGGUACUUGUUCUUGAUGGUUACUUCAUUCAAUCCUCGAUAAUCAACAACCAUCCUUAACGAUCCAUCGUUCCUCUCCACUAGAAGUACUGGCGAUCUCCAAGGCGAAGAACUUGGGCGAACAUAACCUUUAUCCAGUAACUCCUUAAUCUACUUCUUAAUCUCCACCCAAUCCUUUGCGGGCAUCCUAUAUGGUCUCUUAGAUAUUGGCCCUGUGCCUGGCAAAAGCUCAAUCAAAAACUCGAUAUCUCUAUCCGGUGGCAUGCCUGGCAACUCUUUUGGAAAUACAUCAGGGAAAUCCUUCACUAGUGGUACUUCCUCCUGCACAACUCCUGUUAGAAAAUUUACUUGAGUCCUCAUCGGCACAUGCCGAGAUACGUACUUGAUCCUUCUCCCUUCUGGGGUGGUAAGAAAAAUCGACUUACUAAUGCAAUCGAUGUUUCCUCCAUACAUCGACAGCCAAUCCAUACCCAGAAUUACAUCCAAUCCUCGUGAUUCCAAAAUGAUCAAAUCCGAGGGAAACACAUGCCUACCUAUACUCAAUGGCACUUGAAAACAUCCCUGGCUAGCCAUAUACUCCGCUCCUGGUGAGCUUACUAACAUAGGUGUUCUAAGAACUUUGGUGGGCAGGUUAUACUUAUCCACAAAUCCCCUUGAUAUGUAUGAAUGCGAUGCACCAGUAUCGAAAAUAACGAGUGCCGUAAAUGACUUAACCAAAAACUUACCGAUUACUGUAUCCGGCUGCUCUUCAACCUCCUCCACGUUAACGUGGUUCACCUGUCCCCUGUUGAAAGGGUUCGGCUUCUUCCCAGAGCUUCCAUUACCAUUUCCAUUCUGGGAUUCAGGACAUUCAUUGGCAUAAUGUCCGGUCUUCUGGCAUUUAAAGCAAGUGACUUGACUCAGGUCUCUCUUGGCUGGGGUUGAUGGGUUGGUGCGGUUCUGGCCGUUGCUUCCUCCAUUCCCAUUACCAUUCUUGGUGCCGUUGUGAUUGUGUGAGCUACCUCCUCCAUGGGUAUGCUGAAAAUGUCCUCCCGGUCUAGGGGUAAAACGUGGCUUCUGCUGAGCUCCAGAAUUGUACUUCCCUUGUCCAUACUUCCUCUUGCGGUUCUCAAUCUGCUGCUUCUUCCCUUCAAUCAUGAGAGCACGAUGUACCAAAUCCUGGUAGUUGUUGAAGGUUGCCACCAUCAACUGCAUGCUCAACUCAUCAUUCAGUCCUUCCAAAAACUUCUCUUGCUUAGCUGCAUCCGUAGCAACGUCAUCUAGGGCAUAACGUGCUAGCUUACUAAAGUCCUCCACAUACUGGCCAACUAUCCGUCCUCCUUGGCGCAAGUUGCGAAACUCUCACUUCUUCAUGGCUAUAGCUCCUGUUGAAACAUGGGCAGUAUGGAAAGCCUGCUGAAACUGGUCCCACGUGACAUUGUCGACAGGGAAAGUGGCUGUGAAAUUCUCCCACCAUGAUGCCGCGGGUCCUUCAAGCUGAUGUGCGGCAAACUUCACCUUUUCCACAUCUGUGCAUCCUGCCAUGGUCAACUUCCUUGCUGUAUUGCGGAGCCAAUCAUCUGCUACUAUUGGCUCGGUGCUACUGUAAAACACUGGCGGAUUCCGCCUAAGAAAACGGACUAAGUGAUCAACAUGUGGUGGUGGUGGUGGGUUGUUGUUGUUGUUCCCCUGAUUCUGAUUCUGGACUAGCAAUUGCAUCUAUGUGUUCUGCUGCUGGAUCAACUGGGUGAGCUCCGGUGGGAAGGUAAAUCCGGGGUCACGUCUCGGAGGCAUCUGAGGGUUUAGAAAAGAUGAGAUUUAAGAAUAGAGAAGGGUCUAGAGAGAAAACACUACCCAUAUGCUCAUGAGGCAAAAGCAAACAAUUCACUUCAUUCAAUCAAACAAGGGCAUACAAUCGAUCUAGCUAUCGCAAAAGUGCUCGGACUACUAUAUUUACAUGGUGGACUACUACUACUGAUGGGGUGGUCUACUAAAAAUACUCUUCGGUUGCAGACUCCAUGAUAUCUGCUCCAGCUUCAUCAACAUAGUCAUCAUCGCUAUCAUCUAGAUCCGAGUCGGUGUCAUCGAUGAUGAUGUAGUCUUCUGGGCGAAUCUCCUUGGGUUCUUCGUCUUCUUCUACUGGUGUAGGGCCUCCCAUAAAUAUUCCAAUCUUCAUUGUUAAGUCGGCAUUCUUAUCCACGAGUACUUCAAUUUCCUCUUCAUAAUCUUCACGUGUAGCCUUGAGUUCUUCCUCUAGUUCCUUGAUUCUUGCCCUCGCCUUCUUCAGAUCUAUCAUGUUGGCGCACAUCUGGUUCUCCUGACAUCGAAUGUGCUGGUUUAACUCUUGGAUAAAAGCUGCAAUUGAUCUAUCCUUCCUGGUACUGAUCAUCUCCCAGUGCUCAUCUCGGCGCACACAAAUCUGGUAGAUAGUAUCCUUGAGAUCAUUGCGGUAAACUUCUCCAAUGCGUCCCAUGGCGAUGUGAGCUGCCAUGCUCUUCCCUAGAUUCCAAGUUGGUGCAUCAAAAGAAAACUCUAUGGGCUCAGUGACUGGCAUUAACAUCCUUCCUGGAACUUGUACUUGAAUCAUCCAGCGCUCUUCUUCAGGUAAAGUGGCGUUGUAAGUCCCGGUGAAGCUUGGUACUCCUAUGUUCAGGUAUCUAGUGACUUCCUUCAAGUGUCGUCCAAAGGGUGUAUCUUCAUCCGGUUGCAUGAACUUGUUCCUUGCAUCCGCCAUCCUAAAAGAGUAGAAAAGAUGAGAAGUCAGAAUGAGAAGAGAGUGAGUAGUGAUCUAGGGCUUUAGCUUAGUGGUCGUGUCCUACAGUCAGCAUGUGCUCUGAUACCAUCUUGUAGCGACCAGACCUCAAAUGGUCCAAUCUCUGUGCUCAGGUG
This 26650-nucleotide long non-coding RNA is filed under the name Triticum aestivum (bread wheat). Its description in RNAcentral is "long non-coding RNA (TAES_LNC010497)". The record is from RNAcentral. Lineage: Eukaryota; Viridiplantae; Streptophyta; Magnoliopsida; Poales; Poaceae.